RNAcentral lists this ribosomal RNA (253 nucleotides) under uncultured bacterium. RNAcentral describes it as "partial 16S ribosomal RNA". It matches the Rfam family "Bacterial small subunit ribosomal RNA", at positions 524 to 776 of the family's 1533-position model. The record is from RNAcentral.
UACGAAGGGGGCUAGCGUUGCUCGGAAUUACUGGGCGUAAAGCGCACGUAGGCAGGUCAUUAAGUCGGGGGUGAAAUCCUGGAGCUCAACUCCAGAACUGCCUUCGAAACUGAUGAUCUUGAGUUCGGGAGAGGUGAGUGGAACUGCGAGUGUAGAGGUGAAAUUCGUAGAUAUUCGCAAGAACACCAGUGGCGAAGGCGGCUCACUGGCCCGAUACUGACGCUGAGGUGCGAAAGCGUGGGGAGCAAACAGG